CAAGAUACCUGGUUGAUCCUGCCAGUAGUCAUAUGCUUGUUUCAAGGACUAAGCCAUGCAAGUCUCAGAGUAAAUGGAUUAACAGUAGGUCUGCAGACAGCUCAUUAAACCAGCUUGAACCUACGCGGAGAAACUGCCUUUUGGCAGACUAUUGGAUAACUUUGGUAACCCCAAAGCUAAUACAUGUCAGUAAAACCCGCACAGAUUCAACCCUUGGAUUUCGGUUCGAGGGCUGUGCUGGGUGCAAUUGACCGAAACAAAAACCAACGCUAGCAAUAGCAGCGGUGAUUGGAUGAUUCAGGUCAAUCGAGUAGUAGCGCAUGCUUUCGUGGCGCUUGUCCGCACGGCAAUCUGCCCUAUCAGCUUUUGACGGUAGUGUAGUGGACUACCGUGGCUGUAACGGGUAACGGGGAAUUAGGGUUCGAUUCCGGAGAGGGAGCCUGAGAAACGGCUACCACAACUAAGGUUGGCAGCAGGCGCGCAAAUUGCCCAAUAGCAACACAUCGCUGAGGCAGCGAAGAGAAAUAGCAACUUCAUGCGGCCCUGCCGUGUGAAGAUUGCCAUGGACGAUAUCUAAACCUGUCGGUGAGUAUCAAUUGGUGGACAAGUCUGGUGCCAGCACCCGCGGUAAUUCCAGCACCAAUAGCGUAUAUUAAUGCUGCUGCUGUUAAAAAGCUCGUAGUUGGAUCAAGAGCUGGACUGUGCACGGUGGCCCCGUUAGUCGUGGUGGGUCCUGCUCAUCACGACGGCGGCGGAACUACCCCGCGCAUUACGCAGUCCACUCUAGCAGGCCGAAACGGUUCCCUGUGAGUAGGCCCCUUCAUUGGAGUCGAAAGCGCCAACGCAUCAACCAUAUGCAUACGGGACGUCGGCCAAUGUUACUGUGAACAAACCAGCGUGUCCAAAGCAGGCCUUCGCCUGAAUGUUCGAGCAUGGAAUAACAAGGGAUCGAUUCUCUCGGUUCUUUUUGUUGGUUUUUAACCCGAGAAGGAGUAAUUCAGUCCACGGUGUCUGAGUUGGGUUACCCUAGGUUUCGGCUUAGGCCCCAAUUAGGCCGUGUGCUUACGGGAUCAAUAGGGACUGACGGGGUCGUACGUACUUCCGCGUCAGAGGUGAAAUUCUUAGAUCGCGGGAAGACGAACUUCUGCGAAAGCAUUCGACAAGAAUGUCUUCAUUAAUCAAGAACGAGAGUGUGGGGAUCGAAGAUGAUCAGAUACCGUCGUAGUCCACUACUGUAAACAAUGCCGUCUCAGGAUUGAGAAGUGAACUGAAUGACUUUCACAGCACUAACCCCUGAAACGAGAAAUCAAAGAUUAUGGGUUCAGGGGGGAGUACAUUCGCAAGGCUGAAACUUAAAGGAAUUGACGGAAUGACACCACAAGGCGUGGAGUAUGCGGCUUAAUUUGACUCAACACGGGGAAUUUUACUAGGUCAGGACAAUGUAAGGAUUGACAGAUUGAGAGCUCUUUCUCGAUCCAUUGUGUGGUGGUGCAUGGCCGCUCCUGGUUGGUGGAGUGAUUUGUCUGGUUGAUUCCGUUAACGAACGAGAUCUCGACCCUUAAAUAGGUGCCCGUGUCGAUCGUAGUCUCACUCCGCUAGGCUUGCCUUUCUUGGAUGGGACGAGACUGCGGGAAUACUUCUUAAGGGGACUGUAUGCGUUUAUAGCAUGCGGAAGAGCGAGCCAAUAGCAGGUCUGUGAUGCUCCUAAAUGUCCUAGGCUGCACGCGCACUACACUGAUGCAAUAAACGAGUCUGAGUGCCUUCGGGCAACCUACCUGGAAGCGGGUGGGAAAUCUUUUGAACUUGCAUCGUGAUGAGGAUCGACGAUUGCAAUUAUUCUCCUUGAAUGAGGAAUGCCUAGUAGGCACAAGUCAUCAGCUUGUACUGAUUACGUCCCUGCCAUUUGUACACACCGCCCGUCGUUGCUACUGAUUGGCUGUAGGGUAGAGAUCAGCGGAUUGCGAACUGUUGGGGCAACUCUUCAGUUUGUGAGAAACUCAUCAAUAUUCUGCAGCUAGAAGAAGCAAAAGUCGUAACAAGGUUGCUGUAGGUGAACCUGCAGCAGGAUCAUUAC
RNAcentral lists this ribosomal RNA (2074 nucleotides) under Diplonemida sp. 27 RG-2016. Its description in RNAcentral is "SSU rRNA". It matches the Rfam family "Eukaryotic small subunit ribosomal RNA". Lineage: Eukaryota; Euglenozoa; Diplonemea. The record is from RNAcentral.